Molecule: ribosomal RNA, 841 nt
Filed under: Disciseda candida
Lineage: Eukaryota; Fungi; Basidiomycota; Agaricomycetes; Agaricales; Lycoperdaceae
Description: partial large subunit ribosomal RNA
Rfam family: Eukaryotic large subunit ribosomal RNA
Source: RNAcentral
AAGUAACUGGCGAGUGAAGCGGGAAAAGCUCAAAUUUAAAAUCUGGCGGUCUCUGGCCGUCCGAGUUGUAAUCUAGAGAAGUGAUGCCCGCGCUGGACCGUGUACAAGUCUCCUGGAAUGGAGCGUCAUAGAGGGUGAGAAUCCCGUCUCUGACACGGACUACCAGGGCUUUGUGGUAUACUCUCAAAGAGUCGAGUUGUUUGGGAAUGCAGCUCUAAAUGGGUGGUAAAUUCCAUCUAAAGCUAAAUAUUGGCGAGAGACCGAUAGCGAACAAGUACCGUGAGGGAAAGAUGAAAAGAACUUUGGAAAGAGAGUUAAACAGUACGUGAAAUUGCUGAAAGGGAAACGCUUGAAGUCAGUCGCGUUGGCCGGGGAUCAGCCUCGCUUUUGCGUGGUGUACUUUCUGGUUGACGGGUCAGCAUCAAUUUUGACCGCUGGAAAAAGGUCGAGGGAAUGUGGCAGCUCCGGCUGUGUUAUAGCCCUUGGUCAUAUACAACGGUUGGGAUUGAGGAACUCAGCACGCCGCAAGGCCGGGUUUCGACCACGUUCGUGCUUAGGAUGCUGGCAUAAUGGCUUUAAGCGACCCGUCUUGAAACACGGACCAAGGAGUCUAACAUGCCUGCGAGUGUUUGGGUGGAAAACCCGAGCGCGUAAUGAAAGUGAAAGUUGAGAUCCCUGUCGUGGGGAGCAUCGACGCCCGGACCUGAACUUUUGUGACGGACCCGCGGUAGAGCAUGUAUGUUGGGACCCGAACGAUGGUGAACUGUGCCUGAAUAUGGUGAAGCAAAACCAGACUGUGGUGGAGGCGCGGAUCGAUUCUGACAUGCAGUGGGUCGACGAU